RNAcentral lists this long non-coding RNA (44080 nucleotides) under Sorghum bicolor (sorghum). RNAcentral describes it as "long non-coding RNA (SBIC_LNC005208)". The stretch from base 17554 to 17660 matches the Rfam family "Plant small nucleolar RNA R71". The record is from RNAcentral. Lineage: Eukaryota; Viridiplantae; Streptophyta; Magnoliopsida; Poales; Poaceae.
AAGUGGCUAUGCUAAUCUGAAUCUUAAUAAUAAACUCUAGCAUGGAUAUGAUGAAUAGUUGCUCUAUCUAAUUUUUAAAAUUUAAAAUUCUCUAUCAAGUUUAGACAUAACUGUUAUAAUUUAAAGCUUGCUCUAAACCUAAACUCGUGGGAUGAAAACUUGAUCCGAAGUCUAAGUUGUUAACGGAUAUCAUAUGGGAAGGUUGAGCUGUUGUUUAUCUGUUCCUAGAGAUGCUAGAAUUCUGGAGAAAUUUAUCUUUUAAAAUCUUUAACACAUGAUGAGUUCCUGUAUGAUGAGAGUUUAAAUUCCUACCACAGCCAUAUAUACAUGCUUGCUAGACUUUGAGCCACACAUUUACUAUUUUCUGCUUAUGAGCAUUGAGUGUGGUCAAGCUGUGUAGACCCUUAGGAGCUUGUCAUGUGGUUAAAUCAAGAUUCACUUGCACGUUCACUCAUACAUGCUACUUCUACUCCGGAAGUACCAUCCACAUAUAUCCACUCAUUUCCAUCUCCAGAACCACCCAAAAAUAUUCUACUCCUAAUCCGGGAGAGAAUAGCCAAAAACAUUUCUAUUUUUCCCCUGUGAAAUAAAUGCUCAAGUUAUCUUGUUACUACCACUUGCUAUAUUAUCUUAUGAGAUGAGUGCUCUAAAAAAAAGAAAAAAAAAGAUACUAGGAAAUAAAAAGGGGCAAGUGCGUGGAACCUCGGAAGAAAGAAAAAGAGUGAGACGAGAGGUAAAAAUGGAAAAGUGUCCGACAGUAGAAUUAGGGGUACAAGAUACCCACCUAAGAGGAAAGAAAAAGAAAAUAUAGAGCAUCUCAUUCUCCACAAAAUUUCAAAAAGAAAGGAAGGUAUGUAUCCCCUCAAAGAGCAAAAUUAGAAUUAGACUUUCACCAUUGUUAUCACCAUCAUCACCAUACACCAUUCAUUCGCCACACAUGCACAUCUUGAUUUGACUUAUUGAUUUGUUUCUUUGGAUCCAUGGUUUGACUAUGCAAUAAAUGUCUUGUAAGUAUGUAUUAGCUGUCUCCCACCUAUGAGCUCCAGAUAUAAAAGUCUUAUUAGAGUAGGGUGAGAGAGAGGGCAAUGUCACUAUGCUUUGUACCACAAAUACCACAUAUUCUUGAGAGAAGGCAUAUACCAUCAAUGCAUUGGUAAGGAUCUAGAAAUACCACAAAAGAGAGAUAUGAGAGAAUCAUACAAGGAAUCUCUGAGUUUUAUUUGAAAAUCUGCAAAAACUCUUGAGCUAUAGCUGAUCAAGAAGAAGAGACAUGGCACUUGACUAGACUGUUCUAUCUUUUAACUACUCAAGACAGAAGUGACGGUUACAAGUCCCAUGGUGAAAGGUAAAGUAAGCAAGUUUUAAGUCUUGACAGUUUACUCUAACUCAGAGAUUAGAUCUUAUUUAAAAGUAUGUGUACCGUCAAUUUUUAAAAGUAUUACAACAACUUCUAAUCUAUCCUUGCUCAGGGACGAGCAAGAGGUAAGCUUGGGGGAGUUUGUUGACGGUUCUUAAGUAUCAAAUUUAAUUAUCAAAUAAACAAAGAAAAGGAUCCAAAUGAAAUCAACAUCUAGACUUAGGGUUUUAUCUGACAGAAUUCCACGAGUUUUCGUGUUUCUCUAUUCCUGCAGGGGGUUAUCAGGAAAUACGGAAGAAAGGCCCACACGUCGGGAUUACAUAGAGAUAUUAAUGUGCCACGCAAUUAUCUUACAUCUAGAAGACUCUAGAAGCCAUAGGAAGGAAGCGGAGGCCGAACGGGGCCAGGCACUGGGCGCCCGCCCCCUCUGUGAGUCCAAUCAGGACUCUCUCUCAGGAAAGAUCUCCACCGAUCUAAAGGAUCAAGGAUAACUGUUCAAUCAAUGUCGGUUUGAUCCAACGGCCCAUAUUCACUUGAAGGGACUAUAAAACCAGACCCCCUGGCCCCUGGAUGAGAGAGCCUCUCAACACUAAUUCAUUAUUCUCUAGGGAGAAGAAGCCCCUGAUCAAGAUUAGAGCCACCACAUCAAUUAGAUAUCUAGAUUAGCAUAGCUACAUAGGAUUAGAACUAGAAGGAGUCAAUCUUCGAUUGGUUUCCGGAUCUGUCAAGAGGAUUCUUGGUAAUUCUCUAAUUGUGCUUCUAAUUGUUCUUCUAAUUAUCUUUGUUCUUCAAUAUUAUGAAUAUGACUUUGUUCUACUUCAAUAUAUUGCUUAUGACUUUGCUCUACUUGCUUAUAUUCAAGAUUAUAUUGUUCUUAGUUUAUCAUAGUUAUGUACUUGGCUUAGUUAGAUUGGAUCUACAUACAUGUUUAGGAUCAUAUAGCGUUUAUACAUCGGAUCCAUGGGUAAAUGAUAGAUAUUGUGUAGGCGUGGUGCUUAUACCGUAUUUAUCUGCAAUUGUACCCAAUAUGCCAGAUCGUGGGGUAGUUCGUGGUAGUGAUAGCUUUUCUUAUAUAGUCCCCCUCUCGUGUAUUGGGCUGGCAGAACAACAUUAUUAUAGGGGAGUGAUUGCUAUAUUUCUCAUUUACCUUGCUAAUAUCACUAUGCAUGGGUAUAGUCUUGUCUCACAAUGAUUGCUAAGUAUGCUUGCACUAACUAUGAUAAUGCUAGACUAUAUAGUUGAGAAUAACUUAGAAAAUAUUCUUGUAGUUCGUUCUAAUACCAUGCUAAUGACUUUCUAGAAUAUCUAAUUGAGGUGCUUAUCAUAUUUAUUAUGUGGCUAAGUUAUGUUGAUCAGAUUAAUUAUCUUUAUCACUAUUCAUUACUUCAUAUAUCUUUUAUGUGACACUUACCCCUGUAUGAAAGAGUUAGAUAAAUGUUCUCAAUUAUACAUGCAAUGAUAGAUACUCAAUCUCAUAUUCUAUUCUGUAAUCAAUAUUGAUGAUUGCUAAUCCCUUCCCAGUGGUAAAAAUAUAAAUAACGAUACCUGGAAUACUUCCUAGUUAAAAUGCUACAUCGGUAUUAAUCUGUGCGCUUGCAGAUCCCAUUCAUUAUUUAUUUAGAAGAGCAAUUGCAUAUUUCAAUACCGCGUCUCUCAUGUCAUGCUGGGGAUGACAACUUGGCUUAAGUGGUAUGAGGGAUAGGUGUGGCAUUUUUGGCACCGUUACUAAAAUUAGAAAACUAAGUCUACUUUUGGUAAUGAUGUUAAGAAUACCCAACACCCCAUACAAACUCUUGAUCGGCUUUCAACUUAAGUAAAGGACUAAAAGCACGAAUCUUACCAGACAAAUUAGGUAUAAAUUGUCUGAUGAAAUUUAUCUUGCCGAUCAAUGAUUGAAGCUCAGUUUUAUUGGUGGGAGCAAUUAUCUUGUUAAUAGCAUCCAUAGAUCUCCUACUAAUUUAAAUCCCUCUUUGGUGCACCAUGAAACCAAGAAACUGUCCUGUAGAUAAACCAAAUGCACAUUUAUUAGGAUUCAUCUUUAAACCAUGUUUUCUUGUGCACUCCAACACCUUUCGUAAAUCGGCAAGAUGUUUUGUGAAGUCUCCAGACUUAACCACCACAUCAUCAAUAUAGAUUUCCACCAAUUUGCCGAUGAACUCAUGAAAGAUAAAAUUCAUGGUCCUCUGAUAAGUAGCACCAGCAUUCUUCAAGCCAAAAGUCAUAACUAUCCAUUCAAAUAACCCAACAUGACCAGGACAUCUACAUGUAGUCUUGGGAAUAUCUUCUUCAGCCAUGAAUAUCUGAUUGUAUCCUGCAUUGCCAUCCAUAAAGCUAAUAACUCGAUGUCCAGCUGCAGCAUCAACCAACAAAUCGGCAACCGGCAUUGGAUAACCAUCCAUCGGUAUGCCUUGUUAAGAUUCCUGAUAUCAAUGCAGACACGAAGCUUCCCAUUCUUCUUGUAAACUGGAACGACAUUGGAAAUCCACUCGGCAUACCGACAUUGCCGAAUAAAUUUAGCUUUAAUAAGUUUAGUUAUUUCGGCCUUAAUAUCAGGAAGAAUAUUAGGAUUGCAUCGGCGAGCUGACUGCUGAUGCGGCCGAAAUCUAGAUUUGAUAGGUAACCGAUGUUCAACAAUAGAUCGGCCUAAACCAGGCAUCUCGGUAUAAUCCCAAGCAAAGAAAACUUUAUAUUCCAUUAACAAAUUAGUUAACUGUUGCUUACACUCAGAAUCUUACUUAGCACUAAUAAAAGCAGGCAUCGGCCUAUCACCAUUACCUAUAUCUACUUCUACUAAAUCAUCAGCCGAUGUAAAUCCCUGGCCUAAUUUUCCAUCAUCGGCGAACCUAUCCAUUAAAACUCCUCAUCAAAACCGACUGCUUGGAUCGGUGGAAUUUCAUAAUCGGCAACUUUGAGAAAAUCCUUCUCCGAAAUCUCCUUUGAAAUGCAUCUGGUCCUUUCAUAAGUAUCUGCUUAUGUCGAUGCAAUGAAAUACGAAGAAUCUCCUGGGACAAUUUCAAUCUUGUCACCUACCCACUGAACCAAGCAUUGGUGCAUUGUAGACGGGAUGCAACAAUUGGCAUGAAUCCAAUCUCUGCCCAACAGCAAAUUAUAAGCACCCUUUCCACUGAUGACGAAGAAAGUUGUCGGCAAGGUUUUACUGCCGAUGGUCAACUCAACACAUAUAGCUCCCUUGACUAGAGACACAUUCCCUUCAAAACCUUUAACAUCAUAUCGGUCUUGGUCAAAUCUUCAUGUCCUUUGCCAAGCUUCCGAUAGACUGCAUACGACAUAAUAUUGAUAGCAGCCCCACCAUCAACAAGUAUCUUGGUCAUCAGCUGUUCAUCAACCCUGCCUUUGACGAAUAGAGCUUUAAGAUGUUGUCUCUCAUUAUCGGUGGGCUUUUCAAAAAUAGCCGUCAUCGGAUCCAGAGCCAAUUGAGCUAUCUGAUCGGGAAAAUCUACCCACUCAUCAUCAGUGAAGGGCGCAAGGAAUUCCAUUGGCAACAUAAUCACCAUAUUAAUGUCUGCCGAUGGACCUUUUCCCUUAGGAUCUAACUGCUAUCGAUCUCCAGAUUUAGUAGAAUUUUCUCCUCUACUCAGCUCUUCCUGUCGCUCCCGCUGUAACCUCCUAUUCUGUGUCCUUGUCAACCCUUCUGGACACCACAGAGGAAGUUGUGGUUGUCGUACCGAUUGACGACGAUUUUCCCUUGAUUCCACCCGAUAAGUAUUAGCAUCUCUGCAAAAUAUGAACUCAUCGGGAACUCGUGCAUCCACCAUCUAUUCAGGCUCUUCUUGGUUCCUAGGAAAAUAACCAACACGCUCACCAAGCCUGUCGUGCACACUGUGUCUGCCCCCCAGUCGAUCAUGAACUGACGUCCUUCCUCUAAUCGGCCCACCAAAACACCGAUCAUUGUCUUGAUACUGCCGAUUUGGUCUAUCAUACCGAUUAUAGCCAUUGCACUCAGGGCAGUCUCUAACAGUUGGUAGCUUGAUGUUUUGCUCCCAACAGUGAAUGAAGAACGGCUAGUUCCAGUGAUCUUUAUGCCGAUUCCACUCUUGUCGGCGUCUUUCUUCUUCCCUGCGACGAUCUUCCUGUUGGCGACGAUAUCGAUCUUCACGCUGCUGCCAGGUUUCCUGAUGCCUUCUAUGAGUGAUUAUAAUGCCAGAUCGGGGAGGCCUCCCUGAGCUAGUUCCUUCCUCGAUCAAGCCCUUACCUUUGGCAUCAUCGGCAGUAAUCUGGUGUUGAGGAUCUACCGAUGCGCUUCUUUCAGCCGCCUCUGAAGUCAAUACUUUGGUUUUUCCCUUGACAUAUUUGUAGGGAAAGGAUGUUGGUCGAUCUUCAUCGGCUUUUGAGCUUUGGAGCUAUCGAACUUAAUUCUCCCAGAUUCUAUAGCCGAUUGCAGCUGUUGCCUGAAAACCUUGCACUCAUUUGUACUAUGAGAUGUUGCAUUAUGCCAUUUGCAAUACUUAAUCUUCUUUAAUUCUUCUGCCGAUGGAAUCACAUGGUUGGGUGACAACUUAAUCUGCCCCACCUGAAGCAGAAAGUCAAAUAUCCUAUCGGCUUUGGUAAUGUUGAAUGCAAACUUUUCUGGUUCUUUAUGCCCAAAAGGGCAAGGCAUCGGCUUCUUAUUCUUCACCCAUUCUGCCAAGCCGAUGACUGGUUCUUCAUCAGAAUCUGAGCUUGUUGCCUCAUCGACAAAUGACACCUUUUUGUUCCAUACUCUCUUAGGUUCAAAAGUUUUGAUAUCUUGGUCAGAAAUCCUCUGCACUAAAUGACUCAGACUUUCAAACUCUAGAGAAGCAUACUUGUCUCUAAUAUGUGGCAACAAUCCCUAGAAAGCCAAAUCGGCUAGCUGCCGAUCGUCUAGAACCAGACUAUAGCAUUUAUUCUUGACGUCUCGCAACCUUUGCACAAAGCUUUCAACCAACUCAUCGUUGCGUUGCUUCAGCCUGACUAAAUCGGUAAUCUUCUUCUCAUGAACUCCAGAAAAGAAGUAUUUAUAGAACUGUUUUUCUAGAUCGGCCCAUGUAAUCACUGAGUUUGGAGGUAGUGAAAUAAACCAAGUAAAGGCCGAUCCAGACAAAGAGGACGAGAGUAAACAAACCCUUAACUCAUCUCUGUUAGCAGCUUCCCCACACUGGAUGAUGAACCUGUUAACAUGCUCCAUGGUUGACGUGUCAUCCUCCCCAGAAAAUUUGGUGAAAUCGGGCACCUUGUACCGAUUUGGAAGCGGAAUUAAGUCGUACGCAGGAGGAUACAGUGUCCGAUAAGAGUAAGUGUUGACUUUGGGUUUUAUCACAAAUUGAUCUCUCAUCACUUCAGCUAUCUUAUCGGCCCAAUAAGCAUAUGAACUGGUUGUGGAUCUGGGAUCUGCUGAUAAGCUUCCACGUGUCUCUGCGGCGCGCGAUCUCCAGGGAACAUAGGAUUGACCACCGCCUGCUGACCACCAACUUGCUGACCAAGAUUCAUCGGCUGGUUGAUUAACCCUUGAUUCUGAAACCCAGGUUGCAUUGGUCCCUGUUGAAAUCCCAUAGCCUGAUGAUUCUGCUGAGGCAUCUGUGGAAAGACGAACUGCCUUGUCCAUCCAUUAUUAACAUUCAUCGGCGUAGGCCCUGCCGAUGACUGAUAAUUGGGCAUCAUCAUUGAAUUGACAUACCCUGGCUGUGUCAUAAACCUUUGCUGCGUUGGCAUUGGAUCUGCCGAUGCGUUAGGCAUCUGAAACGUCGAUACUUGAGAAUUCCCAGUAAAAGGUCUUGCAGUAGUAGUUGUAGAAUACUGGGGAUUCUGAGUCAUCGGCGAUACUAGGGGUGCUAAUGCCAUAGGAGCCUUUCCUGACAUGUCAGCCACUUGAGACGUUCCAGAGUUAUUUGCUAUAAACUCUGGGGGCAUACCAUAUCCCCACCAAUUAGGAGGAACUUGAGAAACCUUAAACACAGAUCCUGACAUUGCCGAUGCCAAUAAAUCUGUAGCGAGUUUAACCUAUUCUUCUGAUGUUGAUGCAUUAGUCACCAUUGGUGUAGAUUGCGCAUUAGUCAUCCCUAAUGUGCCUGGAGGAGAAGUAACUUCUGUACCCGCAACGGCUAUAGUAGCCGAUGGAGCAGUAACCGAUGAUGAUCCUGACUGAUGAUAGGCAGGGCCCACAUAAGAUGGUGGUAUUUGUCCUUCUUUGAAAGUUCUAGCUACAGCAUUGAAAACCGUAUUGGACAGCACACCAGAUUGAUUGGUUAGAGCACGAUUGACAGCACUAUCAACCAUCUCUUGUAGUUUACCAGGAUUGGCUUCAAAAGUAAUUUGCUGAGGCAUCGGCAAUGCUUCCUUCUAGAUCACCUCGCCACUCCUGUUGAUGCUGAAGGAUUUCAAGCAUAACUGCUUGUAGUCCUCCAUAGCUUUUACCAUAGGUUGCUUCUGCUCAUCUCUGAGAUUGGCCAUCGUCACGGGGAUGACGUUCUCCAAGUCAAAAUCAGUGUUCGACAUGUUGAUCUUGAUAUUGAAUCUCUAUCCCACCGAGAGUGCCAAAAGAUGUGUUGGUGCAAAAGUAGAUCUGCAAACACAAAGGGCUAAUACCCGAUUCAACAUUAAGGCGUGCCAACCAAUUUGACCUUACAAUCGACAAAGGCGAUAACUCGAACACUUUGGUCCCAACAACAGCGAUGCGCCCGGAUGUCACGGCCAAGAGGUAUUCACGCGAACUCGAGAACUUGCCGAGGUUGACUCGAGGAAUUCCUAAGAACUCAUAAUAAAAAGAAAAUAUGUAGGGUGACGAAGUCGUCAAAAAAGUAGAUGCUAGAAUAUGUGUAAAAACUUGUGUUUGAUUGAUUGCGUAUAUCUUUACAUUGCUACGGGGUCUUAUAUUUAUACCCUGCCCAAAAGGGUUACAAUCAGACAUGACUAGGACUCGAAUUCCAAAUUGAACGGAAUCCGUAUGCAAAGCAAACUCUAACAACUAUGGAAAACAUUAAUCUAUCCAACACAACCGAUCGGCACAUCAGCACCAUCCGAUCGACAAUUCUGGCACCUUCUUUUGCAUCCAUCGGCAACUAUCAGCAUCAAUCAUCGGCAUAGAUUUAUCACCACUCCUGGACUUGGUCAUAUUCUGUUGUUUUAUCAUUGGUAUCAACCCUCAUCGGUAACUCUUCUGUCAACCAGUCACCACUUUACUCACCUGCUGAUCCACGCCUUAUUAACUCCUCAGAUACGCAUCGAAAGAUAUGUGUCCAAAAAUGGUGUCAACAAUUUGAAAUAAAUAACAAGGUAUUAAUUAUCUAAGUUAUUCAAUAUAAUUCAAGAGAUAAUGAAAAGAGACAUGUAACGUACUCUGAGCGUCUUUGUGGAUGUUUGAUUGACUUGUGCCAUCAUGAAUUUGCACACGUAAUAUGCACAUAGGUUGUUCCCCCCUUCUUAUCUUAAACACCACUAUACGAUAUAUAUAUAUAUAUAAAAUAUUCAUGACCACGACAAUAAGAAGGCUAAAAGUUAGCGAAAGUUUGCUAGCUAGUAAAACUUACUUGUGGAUGAAUUAUGUUAAGCGGCGCUUUCCAUCCACUGAGAUGUUCACGGUCAAUAAAUCUUUCCCAAACCCUACACACAACCAUUGUGGAUCGUGAACUAAUAAGAGUCAUAUUAUGAUAUUCUUCUAGCUGAGAUCGACAUUACGUACCUUUGAAUAAUGUUUACCAUUUGUUGAUAAUUUUCUUGUGGUUUUCUCAUUGAGUCAAAGAUUAUCAACCAGUUCUUGGGAAUUUCAAUGACCAUGAGUAUCCAGUGAAAGUUGUUUACACACAUAUAUAGUCAGGCCUAUAUAUAACUAUAUAAAACUUGUCUCGAGUAAUAAUAAGUAAAAUAAAAUAUGCAUGCACUUAAUAACUAUAUAACUCACUCGAAGUUGAAGGGGAAGAGUAUUUUUUGUUUAUUCUUUUUGGUUCACAAAGAACCUCAUAAGAUUGGUGCAGACUUCUGUCUCAUGAGAUGUUGUCACACUGCCUGCGGAGCCUUGAAAACAAUAUAAGGUUCAACGAACCCAAUACUAUUGUCAUUUCUGAUUAUGAGCUCUCUCAUUUGGUGCCUGCAUAUAUACAUACAAAUCCUAAGUGUGUAAGGAUUAUAUACAUGUAAUUAAAGAAGUUAGAAUUUAAUAAAAAGAAAGAAAUACUUACAGACAAAAGCAGACAAAAGCAGCUGACAAGAGAUUUGUCGAAAGCGUCGAGGUGACAUAACUACAUGUAUAUGAGGUCAUUGUUGACACUUACUAACACCACUUGAAUACUAGGUUGUCAUCCCCAGCAUGGUGCCAGAGUGUACAAAGGUAUUUAUGAAAGUAAAGGCUUCUGUAGAAAAUAAUCUAUUCUAUCCGCAAGCGCACAGAUAAAAUACCUUAUUGUAGCAUUUCAAUAGGAAAAUAUUCCGGGUAUCGUUAUUUAUAAUUUUGCUUGAGAGAACAGUGGAGGUAAAUAAAAUCUAUCAAGGCAUAGACUAGAGAUAAACUUGCAAGAACAUGAUUACUAAUGAAGAACUCGUCACACAGUCACUUGCUUUAGCAGGGGGUAAGCCAUAAUAAUGAAAAUGGAAUAUAAGCUCAUGGGUAAAUAACACAGCGAUUAGAAAAUAGACUACUCCUCAUAUAUGUAAGGUGACAUCAGAUUAGCUAGAGAAUGGAUUCAAAGUUAUCUACUAUCUACUAAGUCACAAUCUACUCUAGUUAUCUACAAGAUCAUAUAUAGCAUAAAAGACUCUUCAUUCAUGUAUAAGGAACAUUGCUAAAGUAAAACAGAACAUCGCAAGACUUACUCCGCAAUACAAAUUUUGCCUGUCCUAUAUAAGAAUCAACGAAGCUGUCACUAUCGUGAACUACCACACGACCCAGCCAAUAGGAUACUUUUGCAGGUAAAUAACAUCUAAGCACCACGCCCACAUGUGAUCUACCACUUAACUCCCGCGCGUCAAGAGCUAAGCGCUUUGCAAACUUAUACAUAAACUCAUUAUCAAUCAUAACUAUAUCAAAUAUAGAACUAGAGCAAACUAAGAACAUAAUAAAUAGAGACAUAAUGCAAUUAGAAUAAAGUAGUAGAGAAAGAUAUGAAAUAAUACCAAUCUUUAUUAACCAAGAUCUGAAUCGAGAGCGUUAGGCUCUACUUAUCUAAUUCUUUCUAAUCAAUCCUAUAGAACUUGAAGGAUUAGGGAGUAGCUAAUUCUAAUUCUCUGUGGGAGAGAAGUUCUAAAACCCUAACUUUGAUGGCUUCCUCUGAUAAUGAUUUUCUCCUCCUCCCCUAGGGUGGAGAGGCCUUGCUUAUAUAGCCCCCUCAAGUGAAUGUGGGCCGUCGGAUCAAACCAACUUUGAUCGCACGGUUAUUCUUGAAUAUUAGAGGCGGUGGAGCACGAUGCAGGAGACCUGCUCUGAUUGGCCACCAGAGCAGGGCGGGCGCUCAAGGGGGGAGGGCGGGCGUCCUGCCCCCAGGCCCGUUCGGCUUUCCGUUCGUUCCCGUGGCUUCUGGACUCUUCUAGGUCAAGGAAAAUUGUGCGGAACAUAAUUAUCUCGUUGUAAACCUGACAUGUGGGUCUUCUCUCUAUAUUUUUUGAUAACCCCCUGCAGAAAUAGACAAACACCAAAGCUCAUGUAAUUCUAUCAGAUAAAACCCUAAUUCAAGAUGUUUGGUGCAUAUUGAUCCUUUUGAAUGUUUAGUUGAUGGUUAACUUUAGUACUUAAGGACCGUCAACAAACUCCCCCAAGCUUACCCUUUGCUCAUCCCUGAGCAAACAGCUAAACUCAAAUGGAUCAGGAGUUGUUUCGAUGUUUUCUUUCCUGACAGGCACACAUGCUUUUACAUAAAAAUUCUUCCAGAUUAGAGUGAAGUGUCAUGGAGCUUAGUACCUGCACUUAAGUCUUAAGUAAUCGAAAGACAAAAUAAUUAAGUCAAGCACUAUCCCUCUUGCCUAUACUUCACCUUUCUUCUGGAGUUUUGUAUAAGUUUUCAAAAAUAAAGCUCAGAGUUCCCAGCUAUGAUUCUCUCAAGUCUCUCUAUAUGUGGUAUUUGUGGAUCCUUACCAAAAAUGUCACUUACCUAUAACUAAUGAAAUAUUUAAGAGGAGCUCAUAGGUGUGAAAAUCAGCUCUUACAUAUCUUGUCUUAAUUGAGCCAUGGAUCCAAAGGAACUCAGCAUAUAAUUAAAUCAAGAUGUGCAUGUGUGGUGGAGUAAAUGAUAGUGAUGGUAAAAAUGUAUAAGUGAUGAUAAAACAUACUUCUCAUUGCUCCUCAUAUUGCUAUCUCUCCUCCUCUCUUGAUCUUUGCUUUGGGAGAACAUGGGCUAUCUCUUUUUUUUAUUAGGUGGGUAGUAAAUACCGCUAAUUCUACUGUCGGACACUUGUCCAUUUUUUCCGCUCAGGUGGGUGUUGGGUAUUCUUAACAUCAUUACCAAAAGUAGACUAAGUUCUCUAAAUCUAGUAACGGUGCCAAAAAUGCCAAACCUAUAUCCCUCACACCACUUAAGCCAAGUUGUCAUCCCCAGCAUGAUAUAAGAGACGCGGUAUUGAAAUAUGCAAUUGCUCUUCUAAAUAAAUAAUGAAUGGGAUCUGCAAGCGCACAGAUUAAUACCGAUGUACCAUUUUAACCGGGAAGUAUUCCAGGUAUCGUUAUUUAUAUUUUUACCACUGGGAAGGGAUUAGCAAUCAUCACUAUUGAUUACAGAAUAGAAUAUGAGAUUGUGCAUCUAUCAUUGCAUGUAUAAUUGAGAACAUUUAUCUAACUCUUCAUACAAGGAUAAGUGUCACAUAAAAGAUAUAUGAAGUAAUAAUAGUGACAAGGAUAACUAAUCUGAUCUAGCCACAUAAUACAUAUGAUAAGCACCUCAAUUAGAUACUCUAGAAAGUCAUUAGCAUGGUAUUAGAACGAACUACAAGAAUAUUCCCUAAGUUAUUCUCAACUAUAUAGUCUAGCAUAUCAUAGUUAGUGCAAGGAUACUUAGCAAUCAUUGCGAGACAAGACUACGCCCAUGCAUAGUGAUAUUAGCAAGGUAAAUGAGAAACAUAGCAAUCACUCCCCUGUAAUAAUGUUGCUCUGCCAGCCCAAUACACGAGAGGGGGACUAUAUAAGAAUCAAUGAAGCUGUCACUAUCACGAACCACCCCACGAUCUGGCAUAUUGGGUACAAUCGCAGAUAAAUACGAUAUAAGCACCACGCCUACACAAUAUCUAUCAUUUACCCAUGGAUCCGAUGGAUAAACGCUAUACGAUCCUAAGCAUGUAUAUAGAUCGAAUCUAACUAAGCCAAGUACAUAACUAUGAUAAACUAAGAACAAUAUAAUCUUGAAUAUAAGCAAGUAGAGCAAAGUCAUAAGCAAUAUAUUGAAGUAGAACAAAGUUAUAUUCAUAAUAUUGAAGAACAAAGAUAAUUAGAAAGUAAUUAGAAGCACAAUUAGAGAAUUACCAAGAAUCCUCUUGACAGAUCCGGAAACCAAUCAAAGAUUGACUCCUUCUAGUUCUAAUCCUAUGUAGCUAUGCUAAUCUAGACAUCUAAUUGAUGUGGUGGCUCUAAUCUUGAUCAGAGGUUUCUUCUCCCUUGAGGAACAAUGAAUUAGGGUUGAGAGGCCCUCCCCUCUAGGGGCCAGGGGGUCUGGUUUUAUAGUCCCUCCAAGUGAAUAUGGGCCAUUGGAUCAAACCGACAUAGAUUGUAUGGUUUAGAUUCAUCCUUUAGGUCGGUGGAGAUCUCCCACGAAGCAGAGUCCUGAUUGGACUCAGGGAGGGGGCGGGCGCCCUGCCUCUGGCCCCGUUUCGCCUCCGCUUCGGUCUCGUGGCUUCUGGAGUGUUCUAGAUGUAAGAUAAUUGCGCGACACGUUAAUAUCUCUAUGUAAUCCCGACGUGUGGGCCUUUCUUCCGUAUUUCCUGAUAACCCCCUGCAGAAAUAGACAAACACCAAAACUCGUGGAAUUUUGUCAGAUAAAACCCUAAGUUUGGAUCUUUAUUUCAUUUGGAUCCUUUUCUUUAUUUAUUUGAUAAUUAAAUUUGAUACUUAAGGACCGUCAACAAACUCCCCCAAGCUUACCUCUUGCUCGUCCCUGAGCAAGGAUAGACUCAGCUAUGGAUCAUAAGUUGUUACAAUAUCUUUAAAAAUUGACGGUACACAUGCUUUUUAAAUAAGAUCUCAUCUCUGAGUUAGAGUAAACUGUCAAGAAUUAAAACUUACAUACUUUACCUUCACCAUGGGACUUGUAACCGUCACUUCUGUCUUGAGUGGUUAAAAGAUAGAACAGUCUAGCCAAGUGCCAUGUCUCUUAUUCUUGAUCAGCUAUAGCUCUGGGGUUUUUGCAGAUUUUCAAAUAAAACUCAGAAAUUCCUUGUAUGACUCUCUCAGAUCUCUCUUUUGUGGUAUCUCUGGAUCCUUACCAAGGCAGUGAUGGUAUAUGCCUUCUCUCAAGAUAUGUAGUAUUUCUAGUACAAAGCAUAAUGACAUUGUCUUCUCUCUCACCCUACUCUAAUAAGGCUUUUAUAUCUGGAGCUCAUAGGUGGGAGAUAAAGUAUACAUACUUACAAGACAUUUAUUGCAUAGUCAAACCAUGGAUCCAAAGAAACAAAUCAAUAAGCCAAAUCAAGAUGUGCAUGUGUGGCGAAUGAAUGGUGUAUGGUGAUGAUGGGAUAACAAUGGUGGUGGAAGUCUAAUUCUACUUUUGCUCUUUGAGGGAAUACAUACCUUCCUUGCUUUUUGAAACUUUGUGAGGAGAAUGAGAUGCUCUUCUUUUUCUUUUCUCUCAGGUGGGUAUCUUGUACCCCUAAUUCUACUGUCGGACACUUGUCCAUUUUUACCUCUCGUCUCACUUUUUCUUUUCUUUCGAGGUUCCGAGCACUUGCUCCUUUUUAUUUCCUCGUAUUAUAUAUAUAUAUAUUUUUUUAGAGCACUCAUCUCUUGAGAUAAUAUAGCAAGUGGUAGUAACAAGAUAACUUGAGCAUUUAUUUCACAAGGGAAAAAACAGGAAUAUUUUUGGUUAUUCUCUCCCAAAUUAGGAGUAGAAUAUUUUUGGGUGAUUCUGGAGAUGGAAAUGGAUGGAUAUAUGUGGAUGGUACUUCCGGAGUAGAAGUAGCAUAUAUGAGUGCACGUGCAAGUGAAUCUUGAUUUAACCACAUGACAAGCUCCUAAGGGUCUACACAGCUUGACCACACUCAAUGCUCAUAAGCAGUAAAUAUUAAAUGUGUGGCUCAAAGUCUAGCAAGCAUGUAUAUAUGGCUGUGGUAGGAAUUUAAACUCUCAUCAUACAGGAACUCAUCAUGCAACAUUUUAAAGAUUUUUAAAGAUAAAAUUCUCUAGAAUUCUAGCAUCUCUAGAAACAGAUAAAUAGCAGCUCAACCUUCCCAUAUCAUAUCCGUUAACAACUUAGACUUCAGAUCAAGUUUUUAUCCCACAAGUUUAGAUCUAGAGCAAGCUUUAAAUUAUAACAGUUAUGUCUAAACUUGGGAGAGAACUUCAAAUUUGCAAAUUAGGCAGAGCAACUAUUUAUCAUAUCCAUGCUUAAGUUUUAUUUAGAUACAGAUUAGCAUAGCCACUUUAUUUAUUUAUUAAUCACACUAAGCAAAAGACAUAUAUAUAUAUAAGCACAAACUCUUUAUUUGGUUUUCCAUAGUUUAUGUGUAUUUAUAUUCUAAAAUAAUAUAAGUAUAAAGAUAGAUAGAAAUACUUAUCGAGAUAAAUGGGGGUGCUCUCCCCCAAGUUGAAUUUUGACGUAAUUUCUUUUGAUGUAGCUAGCAGGUGGCAGAGGUGUAUUUGAAAGUCAGCACAGCGAUUAGAAUGUCCUCCGUCUGCCAGUCUUCUUGAUUCUUAAAUUCUGUGGAGUUCAAAUAGACAACAAAGCUUGUGGAACUGGUUAAGUGUUAGCAUAAAUAUCUAGCCUUUAUCAUGUUGAGACUCCUUAAUAAAUAUUACUCUCUAUUUUUAUAUUUUUAUUUUUAUAGAGCAGAAAAAUAAUUAUUUUAUUUUUAUGCCACCACAGUGAAUGUACUUAUGGGUUUUAUGCCACUCGUCUACUCACAUGGGGCUUACUGUUUUUCACAUUUUUAUUUUCUUUUUAAGAUAGUAUGAACUUAAUUAACUAAGUAAACUAUUUAAAAUAAUUGAAAGAGAAAGGAUAACUACCAAGUUUACCACGUGGCAAAGCGUUCGGUGUUUUUUAAGUCCUCCGAACAGGACUCUCCAUUUUCUUAAUCAUCCUGAGGUUCGUUGGGUGGCGAAGUCGGUACUUCCGGCAGCGCCUCCUCUUCAUGUAUAGUUAUCUUCAUUUUCCAUACCUGACUCGGUGCUUCAGUCUCCUCUAGAUAAUUCUGUUUAAACUCAACGUCUUCUGAUCUUAUCACUUCUCCUUCGUAGUCUGCCCAUCCGUCCUUGAUGAUCUGCCUCCUCUGGUUGCGGUUGCGUUGCUUUCUUACCUGCUUAGAUUCUUCCAUGAUAUAGUUAGGAUCAGUAAAAUAACGGCGUACCUUCUCUGAGGGGAAGUGCAUAUGGACUUCUCCAGUUCCAAUGUAGAUAAUUGCUUUAACGGUGCUGAGGAACGGUCUUCCAAGGAUGAUAGGUGGAUCAUACUCGUCUUCUCCCAAGUCAAUAACUUGAAAGUCUGUGUAGACAAAGUGAUCGUCUAUUUUGACUGGGACAUCAGUUACUAUUCCUUUAACUUCUCGAAAUGUCUGAUCUGCCAUCUGGAGUUGAAUGUACGUUGGUCUUAGUGGCAUGGUUCCGAACAAGAGCCGAUAGGUGACUGCGGCCAUUAUGUUGACGCCCGAUCCGGUGUCGCAAAACGUCUUGUAGUAGUUGUAUCCAUUUAUGGAGCAGUAAAUGCUUGGCAUUCCUGGGUCAUCCUUCUUGGUCAAAAAUGGUGACUUAAGUUGGUGAUCUUGGCCUCCAUGAACUACAGUGACCAUCUUAGCUGACUCGGUCCACACUUGCUUCUUCCUGUUCCUCCUGUUGGUCCUCUUUCUUGAUUCACGUCUGGAUUGAUCUGGAAUUUGUGUAGUCUUGUUCUUGAAAAAAAAAUGUCUCCUUCCUCCCUUUGAUGUAGAAACUGAUCUUGGCAGCACUAGCAUAGAUGAUAGCUCCUGUGGUGUUCAAGAAUGGCCUCCCUAGGAUGAUAGGUGCUCUCUCAUCAUUUCCGGUCUCUACCACUACGAAGUCUGCUAGAGCAUAUAAGGUACCAACUCGGACGCAAAGGUUCUUCAAUAUUCCUUUUGGAAAAGUUAUCGUCUGAUCUGCAAACUGCAAACACAUGGUUUUUUCUAAUAAAGGAUAUGUAAAGAAUUUUUCAUAGAGUACCCUGGGUAUAAUGUUGACGCUGGAGCCAAAGUCGCAGAGUGCUUCUGGAACGUCCACCAUGCCAAUGGAGAUCGGGAUGACGGGGCAUCCUGGAUCGCCUCUCUUGACCGGCAGAAGGUCAGUAGAGAAUUCAGUGACAGGGUUACUCCAAUUACCUGCAUCAAACAUAUCAACAAGAUUUGCAGAUUCUAAUCCUUCCGGUUGUGAUGGUAUACCGGGGUUAGUAGUAGGAAUAGCAGCAGCUAUUUGAUUUAACUGAGAUUCAAUCAUUUUAUUAAAGCUAAUUUGAUUCUUGAUGGCAGUAGAGAAAUUAUCUAUUCUAUUAUUUAUAUUUUCUAGCAUUUUAUCAUUAGAUGCCAAUUUCUUAGAUAGGUUAUCCAUUAGCUUUCCUUGAUUAGACACUAACUAUCUCAAAGGUGUAAAAUUACUAUUAUUGUUGUAAGAAUUGUUACCUUGAUAAUUACCUGAGUAGUUAGGCCUCUGUUGAUUCCAACCUUGAUUUUGUUGAGGACGGUUGUAGUAGUUGUUGUUAUUGUCGAUGUAGUUCACAUCCUCAAGUAUCUCAGGGCAGUGAUUGCCUGAGUGUCCAGUGUCUCCACACUCCUCACAAGUCAUGUGAGAGUCGUAGAUGUGCAUAACUUCUUUCUUGUCUCCAGCUCUAUCGUCAAGCUUCUUCAUGAGCAGGUCUAGCUUUACAGAUAGCAUGUCUACCUCCUUGAGCUGAUGCAUACCUCCACCUCUCUUGCGUGUCUGGGUUCUCUCUUCAUUCCAGCUUUGGUUGGAUGCCAUCUUCUCCACAAGAGCUGUGGCUUGUGAUAUAGUAAGUGAUAAGAAUGCUCCUCCAGCUGCAGCAUCAAUGGUUUCUCGGGCACUGUUGCCGAGCCCAUGAUAAAAUGUCUGCAUCAAUAGCCAACUCUCCAUUCCAUGAUGGGGACAUUCUAGGAUGUAGUCUUGAAAGCGCUCCCAUGCUUUUGGAACAGAUUCAUCAUUUUGUUGCUGAAAACUUGUAAUCUUCCCACGGAGAGCAUUGGUCUUGCCCAUGGGAAAGAACUUUGCUAGGAAGUUUGUUGAGCAGUGUGCCCACGUAGUAUUCUUCUCAUUUGUAGCGUAGAACCACUGCUUCGCUCUUCCUAACAGUGAGAAUGGGAAGAGGCGAAGUAGUAUAGCAUCUUUGGAAACUCCUGAUAUGGUGAAUGUGUUGCAAAUCUCCAGAAAGUGUUGUAAAUGAGCACUAGCAUCUUCGUGUGCCUUCCCACAGAACUGGUUGGAUUGCACCAUGUUGAUAAGUCCAGGCUUGAGCUCAAAGUUGCCAUCGAUCUCUGCAGCAGGUCCAGUGCGGAUGUUGUCCGUAGUGGGAGCUGAGAAUUCACGGAUUGAUUUGUUCGGCAUGGCUUCGAACUCUGAAGACAAGUUCCGGUGAUCUUCUUGAUUGGAUGAAGCUUCUUGCUAAAGUGUUGAUGAUCUCUUCUUGAGCUUUGCUCUCGUCUUCUUGAAUAAUGCUUCGGGAUUGUCAACAAAAUUUCCUAGAAGAUGUCUUCUAUUCAUACAUUCCCCUGCAUAAGAUAAAAUAGAAAAAUAUCGGGGUAAAACUGUAUGAGAGAAUAGAUAAGCUCAAUCAUAUUAGUGAUGCGAAUGAUAACUCAAAAUCUUUUAUUCUAUUCUUGAUUAUUAAUCAACCUUCCCCGGCAACGGUGCCAAAAAAUGCUUGUUGGGUAUUCUUAACAUCAUUACCAAAAGUAGACUAAGUUCUCUAAAUCUAGUAACGGUGCCAAAAAUGCCAAACCUAUCCCUCACACCACUUAAGCCAAGUUGUCAUCCCCAGCAUGAUAUAAGAGACGCGGUAUUGAAAUAUGCAAUUGCUCUUCUAAAUAAAUAAUGAAUGGGAUCUGCAAGCGCACAGAUUAAUACCGAUGUAGCAUUUUAACCAGGAAGUAUUCCAGGUAUCGUUAUUUAUAUUUUUACCACUGGGAAGGGAUUAGCAAUCAUCAUUAUUGAUUACAGAAUAGAAUAUGAGAUUGAGCAUCUAUCAUUGCAUGUAUAAUUGAGAACAUUUAUCUAACUCUUCAUACAGGGAUAAGUGUCACAUAAAAGAUAUAUGAAGUAAUUAUAGUGACAAGGAUAACUAAUCUGAUCUAGCCACAUAAUAAAUAUGAUAAGCACCUGAAUUAGAUACUCUAGAAAGUCAUUAGCAUGGUAUUAGAACGAACUACAAGAAUAUUCCCUAAGUUAUUCUCAACUAUAUAGUCUAGCAUAUCAUAGUUAGUGCAAGCAUACUUAGCAAUCAUUGCGAGACAAGACUACGCCCAUGCAUAGUGAUAUUAGCAAGGUAAAUGAGAAACAUAGCAAUCACUCCCCUGUAAUAAUGUUGCUCUGCCAGUCCAAUACACGAGGGCAGGAGGGCGGGCGCCCUGCCUCUGGCCCCGUUUCGCCUUCGCUUCGGUCUCGUGGCUUCUGGAGUGUUCUAGAUGUAAGAUAAUUGCGCGGCACGUUAAUAUCUCUAUGUAAUCCCGACGUGUGGGCCUUUCUUCCGUAUUUCCUGAUAACCCCCUGCAGAAAUAGACAAACACCAAAACUCGUGGAAUUCUGUCGGAUAAAACCCUAAGUUUGGAUCUUGAUUUCAUUUGGAUCCUUUUCUUUAUUUAUUUGAUAAUUAAAUUUGAUACUUAAGGACCGUCAACAGUGGGCAUCUUUGUGCCCCUAAUUCUACUAUGGACACUUGUCCAUUUUUACCUCUCGUCUCAUUUUUUCUUUUUCUUUUUCGAGGUUUCGGGCGCUUGCCCCUUUUUAUUUCCUCGCAUAUUUUUGCAUAACCCAUGCCUCUUCUACAUUGAAUCUUUUUUGGAGAGAGAGAAUAACAACACUUGGGACAGUGAGUGAUAAUAUUUUUUUUGCAAUUUUAAUAAAUGGUGGUGGAUGGUGUAGUAGAUGUGUGCAAGUGAAUAUCUUAAUUUAACCACAUGAAAAGCUCCUAAGGGUCUAGACAGCUCGAUCAAACUCAAUGCAAAAAUAAGUAGCAAAAGAUGUUAUAGCAAAUAUGGCUGUGGUAGGUAUUUUGUCAUGCUAGGAACUCAUCAUGUGAUUUGCAAGUUUUCAAAAUAAAUCUCCAGAACUUAGUGUAGUAGGAACUAGAUAAACAGUAGCUCAAACUUUAUAUCAUGCCUUUCUCUUGCCUAGACUUUAGUUUUAGGCUCAUGCUCCCAUAGAUAUUAAAUUUUAGGUUUUAGUAAUUCCUAGAAGAACGUUAAUAUAAAAGCUAGGUACUUGAAAGUAAGCAAACAGAGCAACUGUUCAUCAUUCCAUCAUGCAUCUUUUUAGUCUUUUUAUUUUUCUAGAGAUUAACACUUAGCAGAUAAAUAAAGCACACUUGUCUACACACUCUUUUUAUUUUGUUUUCAUGUUUAUAGAAUGCAGUAAAUUAAAGCAAUAAAAUAUUUAUUGGGUUUUCUAAGUUUUUUUUAUUUAAGAUAAAUAAAACAAUAAAACAAAAAACAAUAAAUAAGAUGAGUAAAUAAAAACUUACUUGAUAAAAUGGGGAGAAACUCUGCCAAGCUAGAUGUGGUUGUCGGUCUUACCCAAUGUUUCAAAAUCGCAUCAUGGUGGUGAUAUUGUCGUUUAUUGUUGUAGUGUCUUGCCUCAGUUCUUGUGCUGCAGCGGCGUGGUCCUGGUUCCACUUUUGUUGCUGUUCUAGGAGUCGUCCAUGUUCUGCUUGCGUAUUCUGGAUGUCGAGAAGUGUGUUGUCGGUGCGGGGGAAGAAGGCGCCGACCUCUUGGUAGUAGUCGUUCGUGAAAGCAUAAGAGGCGCCGGAGUACUGUCCUGCAUCGAAUUGAGGCUAGGGUCUAGACCCUGAAGCUCCAAAUUGAUCAGUGGAGUACCUGCCCGUAUGGAAAGGCGGGUUUGUCCACUGGUGAUCUUGGCCCUCCGGCCAUGUCUCAUGUGUUGGCUCUUGUGGUUGAGCAUGUCGAACCCAGAGGUCCCGAAGGACUCGGGGUUGUAGUCGCAAUAAUGCAGGUGCGCUGCUUCUUCCGGCCCGGGAUCAGCUCCAUACCAGAUGCGUUCUUGAUGAGUGGUCAUCCUUUCAGAUGUCACUCGCUGUGGAGCUCUCUGGUUUACCAGUGCCACUGCAAUCUCAAUCAAAUGAUUUUGAAUGAUAUAGAGGCCAUGGUUCAGGUUAGGUAACCAAAUCUUGUCUUUAUUAUCAUAUAACAUAUACAUUAUGUUCCCCUCUUUUUUCAACAUCCGAGCUUGCCUAAAUGUGUCAUAGCCAUGGUAAAUUCGUAACUCGUCAAUGAAUUCCAGUGACGAGUUUUCUAGCAAAUUAAGAUUAGAAGCUAGACGAGUGAUGAGUGAAGUACAACCGACAGGUCCCUAAAGACUAGGUAUACUGAGCCAGUGAGAAACCAAGAGAGUAAUAGGUGAAGUGGGUAUUUUAUUUAUAGCAGCAUAUAGAUGUUGUAAAUCUCCUACUCUUACUUUUCUAAUAUCAUCACGAUGUAAAAGAUUGUACCCGAGCCAUUUGUGGAACAUCCUAAGAGUGGGGUGUUCCAUGUCACUGGUUCGGGCUUGACUAUAAAACUCAUCUCUAGAUAUCUCUCUCCAGAACUGGUGUCUUUCAAAAUUGGGUAUGUCGGAGUCAAUGUCCAGGAUGCAUCUUGAAGAGAAACCAAGAUGGUCGCUCAAUUCUCUCCAAGACAACAUAAUGUCCUGUUUGAACAUCCGAAUAGCGAUUCCCCCCCUCAUAAUAUUGUAAAGUGCAAAGAAAUCCAGUGGUGAGAAGACGGGAACCCAGCUCAGUUAUGUUCCAAAAAUUUGUCCAUCCCACCAUCUGGAAAAUUAAGUCAAAUUCAGUAUCUAUACAUGUUUCUUGUAGCAGGAUAGGAUCAAGAGUGGGGGUGUGAAUGAAAUCCUUGUUCUUUAGCUGCUGGUAAACUUCCUUCUUCCUGCGGGUCUUCAGUCCAAGGUCUGCUAUCUUGAGGAGGACCUUGACUUGCGGAUCAGAUGAAGAUGACGGAGCUUGCGGGGGCAUCGGGUCGACUCUCAUCUCUGACUGGUGCGAGGAGUGUCGGGACAAACUCCUCGUACCUAUGUUCUUGAAGGCCUUGCCCGCGUUCUUCACCUUCUUGACCAUCCUGUAGACAAAAGUUGACACAAACACAACUAGUGCAAAAUGUGAGAGAAAACAAAUGUUAGUGGUCUGCUGUCCGAAAUGUCAGUAGUCCAGGGGUUAGUUGUUCAAGACAAGUUUUUAUUUUGGCAGCACCUCCCCCUAAACAACUUUUACUUUCGCUCUGGACAGUGGGAUCACUACUUACUAGGUGAACCUUACUCUCUCACUAAAAGACUACCAACCUUCCUUUCACUCUUCUCUUUCUCUCCUCUCUCCUUCUUACUUCACUAUAAGAGCUCCUUCUCUGGAAAUUGAAAACUGUGUGGUUUUCUGGGAUGCUUGUGUGAAGAGGUUGGAGGCCAGAAGUGGCUUUUUAUAGGCUGAAGGGGGGACAGGGCGGGUGCCCUCUGUAGGUGGGCAGGCGCCCACCUCUGGUGGCCAUCCUGGCUGCCUUUUCUCCACUCCCUCCAUUGCUUAGCUCUUACGUAGAAUAAUGUUGAGUGGAUGGUGGUUGGUUAGUGGAAAGAUGCUGGUGAGUGGAAACAUGUUGGUGGAUCACAAGAUGUGGUGUAUGACAUGUGGGACCCAAGGAGUGUGGGUCAUGCUUCUAGACGGUUGCUAUAAUUAAAUAUAAUGCAGGAAAAUUUAUGAGAAUUGAAACUUAUUUGAAAUGAUAAUGAAAAAUAUGUUUGUGCCUCCACAAUAAUUAAUAAAUAUGGGUUGUCACGCACCAUAAAUAUUAUUUAUAUGGGGCUUUUGAUUAUUAUAAUAAUGUGAUGAAUAAAUAUGACUAAUGCAAGAAUUAAUUAUGCAAGAAUUUAAACAUUGUGGAUAAAUACCAAUUUACCUCCCGGCGAGGGUUUGGGAUUUUUAGGUCCCCCAAGCUGGACCUCCAAAUCUUUUAAUCUUCUGAAUUACCUUCCUCUGAAGAUGGUGUCUCUAGUGGUUCUUCUUCAUGAACUUCCUUCACUGUAGAGUCUCUCUCUGGUCUAGGCUUGAAUGUGAAGUGUUCUUCUUUUCCGUUUAUGUUGAACUUGAUUUCUCCCUUUCCGACAUCAAUGUGGGCAUUGGUAGUGCUCAGAAAAGGCCUUAAAAGGAUGAUGGACACUUUUGAGUCAGGACUCAUGUCCAGUACCACGAAGUCUACUGGCACAAGGAAGUCUCUUAUCUUGACUGGAAUGUUUUUGGCGAUGCCUAACGGGUGUCGAACUGAUUGAUCUGCUAGUUGUAGGCACAUUGAUGUUGGUUCUAGGGUCGUAUGCUCAAGCUUCUCGUAGACUGAUGCUGGCAUCACACUGACACUUCCUCCGAGAUCACAAAGUGCAUUAUUGAAGUGUUGGUUUCCGAUCGAGCAAUCAAUGGUGGGGCAUCCUGGAUCCUUCUUUUUCCUUGGUGGUUUAUUGAGGAUGGCCACACCGCAUUCUUCUGUCAGCUUGAUAACCUCAGUGGUGGGCAGUGGUCUCUUCUUGGUAAGAAUAUCUCUGAUGUACUUUGCAUAUGUGGGUACCUGUAUGGCAUCAAGUAGAGGUAUGUUGACAUAUAAUUUCUGAAUGACCUCUACAAACUUAUCAAACUGCUCAUCCGACUGCAGUCCUCUGUUUCUUCUAGGAAAUGGCAAAUAGUUGGUGUCAUAAAAAUCUUUCCUCAUUUCUCCAUCUCUCGGUGGUUGGAGCAGAUCUUCUGCUUCAACUGAGUUUUCUUCUUCUAUCAUUGCUGGUUGCACUGGUGCUGUUGUUCUCUGUUUCUCUUUUGGGUAUGGGGGAUCCCUGUUGGCUUUGCCUCCCCUAGUAGUUAUGUUCUUUACCUGCUCAGUGUUAGUGGCAACAGACAAUGCAGUAGCUAGCUUUAUUAAUUUAAGCUCUACCCUUUUAUUAAGAGUGUUUUGCUCAUCAAAGGCAGUUAAUAGAAAAUCCAUUUUAUUGUGUAUAUCUUUCAGAGAUGAUUCAUUUGUAUCUAGCCUUUGUUUAACUUCAUCAUUAGUUUUGGUUUGUUGAGCAAUUAUCUCUUUUAGUGAAAGUUGCUUUAAAAUGUUACCUGAAUUCAUACCUUUGCUAUUGGGUUGACUCGAAGUAGGUUGAUAUUUGUAUGCUGUCUCAAUGGCCCUUUGAUCUUCUUUGAACAUGGCUCUCUGGUCAAUCCAAUGGAGCAAAUUUUCCAUCUUGGUUGAUAGUGCAUUUACUUCUUCUGGUAUUUCUUCAGUUUGAUGACAUUGUUGAGCUUUAUCUUGGAACCAUCUUUGGUUUUCUGCUAUCUCGUCCCAAAGUAUCUCUGCUUUUCCAAUUGUAAGCUCCAAAAACGAUCCCUUAGCAGAUGCAUCUAGGCAUUCACGAGCCUUCUGGGUUAAUCCAUGGUAGAAGGUCUGCAUAAGUAACCAUUUAGCCAUUCCAUGGUGAGGACAAUCUGAUAUGUAUCCUUGAAAGCACUCCCAUGCUUCUAGAAUGGUUUCUGUUUUCUACUGUUGGAAAAUAACAAUAUUUCCUCUUAAGGAAGUUGUCUUGCCCAUAGGGAAAAACUUUGAUAGAAAGGAAUCUGACAAGUUCGUCCAGUUGUUGAUGUUUUCUUGAUGGGUGUAGAACCACUUCCUCGCCUUCCAUUCUAGUGAGAAUGGAAAAAGGCGAAGCAGUAUGACGUCUUUGUCAACUCCGUUGAUGCGGAUUGUGCUUCCAAUCUCUAAGAAAUUCUACAAGUGUGCACUAGCAUCUUCGUGUGCCUUUCCACUGAAUUGUGUAGCUUGCACCAAAUUGAUGAGGCUUGACUUGAGCUCAAACUUGGGAGCUCCUUCUUCUACUGCAAAUCUUGGACCAGUUGGAAUGUUCUCAAGACUUGGAGCAGAGAAUACUUGCAAGGUCUUUUGUGCCAUAGCUUCAGCAAUUGGUAGGUAACUUCUUCUUUCUUCUUGAUUGCUUUGGUUCUGAUGAUGAAGAGUUGAAUGUACCAAAGUCAAUCCUGAUAUACCCUGUAUAAAAAUAUAAACAUAGAAAAACAACAGGGUGAACCUGCCAAAGCAGAGGUGCCUUGUUAUGAUUUCUCACUUAGUAGCUAUUUUAUGCAAUUAUUUCUCCAUAGUCUAGUCUAAUAUUUUAUGUGAAUAACCUUGACUGACUUCCUGACUUUCCUUACUGUUCCUAUGUGUUUUCCCUGGCAACGGCGCCAGAAAUGCUUUUUGACACUUACUAACACCACUUGAAUACUAGGUUGUCAUCCCCAGCAUGGUGCCAGAGUGUACAAAGGUAUUUAUGAAUGUAAAGACUCUCUAGAAAAUAAUCUAUUCUAUCCGCAAGCGCACAGAUAAAAUACCUCAUUGUAGCAUUUCACAAGAAAAUAUUCCGGGUAUCGUUCAACCAUAGUGGAGGUAAAUAAAAUCUAUCAAGGCAUAGACUAGAGAUAAACUUGCAAGAACAUGAUUACUAAUGAGGAACUCAUCACACAGUCACUUGCUUUAGCAGGGGGUAAACCAUAAUAAUGAUAAUGGAAUAUAAGCUCAUGGGUAAAUAACACAGCGAUUAGAAAAUAGACUACUCCUCAUAUAUGUAAGGUGACGUCAGAUUAGCUAGAGAAUGGAUUCUAAGUUAUCUACUAUCUACUAAGUCACAAUCUACUCUAAUUAUCUACAAUAUCAUAUAUAGCAUAAAAGACUCUUCAUUCAUGUAUAAGGAACAUUGCUAAAGUAAAUCAGAACAUCGCAAGACUUACUCCGCAAUACAAAUUCUGCCUGUCCUAUCAACGGAGGGUGGACUAUAUAAGAAUCAACAAAGCUGUCACUAUCGCGAACUACCACACGACUCGACCAAUAGGAUACAUUUGCAGGUAAAUAACAUCUAAGCACCACGCCCACAUGUGAUCUACCACUUAACUCCCACGCGUCAAGAGCUAAGCGUUUUGCAAACUUAUACAUAAACUCAGUAUCAAUCAUAACUAUAUCAAAUAUAGAACUAGAGCAAACUAAGAACAUAAUAAAUAGAGACAUAAUGCAAUUAGAAUAAAGUAGUAGAGAAAGAUAUGAAAUAAUACCAAUCUUUAUUAACGAAGAUCCGAAUCCAGAGCGCUAGGCUCUACUUCUCUAAUUCUAUCUAAUCAAUCCUAAAGAACUUGAAGGAUUAGGGAGUAGCUAAUUCUAAUUCUCUGUGGGAGAGAAGUUCUAAAACCCUAACUUUGAUGGCUUCCUCUGAUAAUGAUUUUCUCCUCCUCCCCUGGGGUGGAGAGGCCUUGCUUAUAUAGCCCCCUCAAGUGAAUGUGGGCCAUCGGAUCAAACCGACAUUGAUCGCACAGUUAUUCUUGAAGAUUAGAGGCGGUGGAGCACGAUCCAGGAGACCUACUCUGAUUGGCCACCAGAGCAGAGCGGGCGCCCCGGGCCCGUUGUUGACGGUCCUUAAGUACCAAAUUUAAUCAUCAAAUAAAUAAAAAAAGGAUCCAAAUGCAACCAACAUCCAGACUUAGGGUUUUAUGUGACAGAAUUGCACGAGUUUUGGUGUUUGUCUAUUUCUGCAGGGGUUAUCAGGAAAUAUGGAGGAAAGGCUCACACGUCGGGAUUACAUAGAGAUAUUAACAUGCCUCGCAAUUUUCUAUCAUCUAGAAGACUCCAGAAGCCACGGGAACGAACGGGAAGCCGAGCGGGCUCGGGGACAGGGCGCCCGCCCUCCCACCUUGGGCGCCCGUCCUGCUAUAGGAACCAAUCACGUUCAACCUCGUGGAUUAUGCUCCACCGACCUAAAGGAUCAAGGAAAACCGUGCGAUUAAGGUCGGUUUGAUCCGACGGCCUAGAUUCAAUUGAGGGGACUAUAUAAGCAGACCCCCUGGCCCCUAGAGGAGGCACCCCUUCAUCCUUAUUCAUUAUUCAUAGACACAGCAAAAGCUAGGGUUUGGAGAUGAGAGCUCUCCUCUCAUCUCUAAACUAGAGUAGAUCUAGAUAGUAGCGAGAUGGAGAGCGAGGGAGGAUUGGAGGAGAGGCCGGCCUGUCGGUUCUUCCUCCGGUUGUACUUCGCCAUGAUCAAGCUCUAAUCAAGCUUGCUCAUGGGAUGACUCUGGUAAUCUACUUCUAUUCCAUUGUGCAAUUACUAUUCAUGUAUGUUCUGGUUCAAACUCUUUUGAGUACUUUUAAUCUAUAGGACCCUAUAGGUUAGAGUUGUAGUAUAGGUGUAAGUGUGGUGCUUAGCCCUAGAUUACUUGUGGAUAUCCCCUGUCUAGCCGGAUCGUGUGGUAGGCCGCGUGGGUGACAGCUACGUUGGUCCACUGUAGUCCACCUCCCGUUAGCAGGACUGGUAGGGUUUAUCGGCCUAUGGAUAAGCAUCCUUUGUGGUGUAUUCUUAUCACGUGGUUCGUCCCAGACAUAGACAUAGCCCUUUGAAGUAGAGAAACCAUAGUUAUCAUCUCUAUUCUCCUACCAUCGCCCAUAUACUAGAUUGCUCCACUCUCUAUUCCUAUAUUAUCACCCAUUGUUAUCUUACCUUUAAUAUUGUUCUUAUUCAAUUCUACCAUCUUUCCUAUUUACACCAAUCUAUCUAUCUUGGUUAAGUUAGAGCGUAGUUAGUUCUCCCGUUUCCGUGUGGAUACGAUAAAACCUUUAACCGAGUAAAAGCUACAACGGUAUCCGUGCGCUUGCGGAUUUAUCUGUGUGCGUAUAAAUACCAUAGUACACUCUAGUGCCAUGCUGGGGAUGACAACCUAGUAUUCAAGUGGUGUUAGCAAGUGUCAACAAGCUUUUGGCGCCGUUGCCGGGGAGACGGUUGCUGAGUUGACUACGAAAUAGCUUAAUGAUUUCCUAAAAAAAUAAAAAAAUAAAAAAUAUACUUUUCCUUUUAUCUUUUGCCUUAUCUCUGCUAUUCUUUAUUCUUAUCUAAUCCUUGAUCUCUGUUCUAUCAUGAAUUCAAACAUUUCUAUCUAUGAAUUUCAUAGACCUACGAGCACACAUCUCGAACCACCAAAAUCUUCAAAGCCUAUCAUAGCAUCUAGUUUUGAGAUAGACCCCGAAUACAUAGAAUUUGUUCAAAAACAACCUUUCUCAGGAGAAGGUGAGGAAAACCCAUACACACACCUAAGAGAGUUUUAUCGAGUCUGUGACCUCCUUCGCGUAGAAGGCAUGUCCGAUGAGACCCUUAAAUGGAAGCUCCUUCCGUUCUCUUUAAGAGGAAAAGCUAGACAUUGGUGUUGACGGUCCUUAAGUACCAAAUUUAAUCAUCAAAUAAAUAAAGAAAAGGAUCCAAAUGCAACCAACACCCAGACUUAGGGUUUUAUCUGACAGAAUUCUAUGAGUUUUGGUGUUUGUCUAUUUCUGCAGGGGGUUAUCAGGAAAUAUGGAAGAAAGGCCCACAUGUCGGGUUUACAUAGAGAUAUUAACGUGCCGCGCAAUUUUCUAUCAUCUAGAAGGCUCCAGAAGGCACGGGAACGAACGGGAAGCCGAGCGAGCUCAGGGACAGGUCGCCCGCCCUACUCCUUAGGGCGCCCGCCCUACUUUUUCCACCAAUCAUGAUCAACCUCGCGGAUUAUGCUCCACCGACCUAAAGGAUCAACAAAAACCAUGCGAUUAAUGUCGGUUUGAUCCGACGACCCAGAUUCACAUGAGGGGACUAUAUAAGCAGACCCCCUAGCCCAUGGAGGAGGCACCCCUUGAUCCCUAUUCAUUAUUCAUAGACAGAGCAAAAGCAAGGGUUUGGAGAUGAGAGCUAUCCUCUCUUCUCUAAACUAGAGUAGAUCUAGAUAGUAGCGAGAUGGAGAGCGAGGGAGGAUUGGAGGAGAGGCCGGCCUGUCGGUUCUUCCUCCGGUUGUACUUCGUCAUGAUCAAGCUCUAAUCAAGCUUUCUCAAGGGAUGACUCUGGUAAUCUACUUCUAUUUCGUUAUGCAAUUACUAUCCAUGUAUGUUCUGGUUCACAACUCUUUUGAGUACUUUAAUCUAUAGGGCGCUAUAGGUGAGAGUUGUAGUACAGGUGUAAGCGUGGUGCUUAGACCUAGAUUACCUGUGGAUACCCCCUGUCUAGCCGGAUCGUAUGGUAGGCCACGUAGGUGACAGUUACGUUGGUCCCCUAUAGUCCACCUCCCAUUAGCAGGACUGGUAGGGUUUAUUGGCCUAUGGAUAAGCAUCCUUUGUGGUGUAAUCUUAUCACGUGGUUCGUCCCAAACAUAGACAUACCCCUUUGAAGUAGAGAAACCAUAGUUAUCCUGUCUAUUCUCCUACCAUCGCCCAUAUACUAGAUUGCUCUACUCUCUAUUCCCAUUUUAUCACCCAUUGUUAUCUCACCUUUAAUAUUAUUCGUAUUCAAUUCUUCCAUCUUUCCUAUUUACACCUACCUAUCUAUCUAGGUUAAGUUAGAGCGUAGAUCAGCUCUCCCGUUUCCCUGUGGAUACGAUAAAACCUUUAACCGGGUAAAAGCUACAACAGUAUCCGUGCGCUUGCGGAUUUAUCUGUGUGCGUAUAAAUACCAUAGUACACUCUAGUGCCAUGCUGGGGAUGACAACCUAGUAUUCAAGUGGUGUUAGCAAGUGUCAACAAGCUUUUUGGCACCGUUGCCGGGGAGACGGUUACUGAGUUGACUACGAACUAGCUUAAUCAUUUUCUAAAAAAUAAAAAAAAUAUAUUUUUCCUUUUAUCCUUUGCCUCAUCUCUACUAUUCUUUCUUCUUAUCUAAUCCUUGAUUUCUGGUCUAUCAUGAAUGCAAACAUGUCUAUCUAUCAGUUUAAUAGACCUACGGGCACACAUCUCGAACCACCAAAAUCUUCAAAGCCUAUAAUAGCAUCUAGUUUUGAGAUAGACCCCGAAUACAUAGAAUUUGUUCAAAAACAACCUUUCUCAGGAGAAUGUGAGGAAAACCCAUACACACACCUAAGAGAGUUUUAUCGAGUCUGUGACCUCCUUCGCGUAGAAGGCAUGUCCGAUGAGACCCUUAAAUGGAAGCUCCUUCCGUUCUCUUUAAGAGGAAAAGCUAGACAUUGGUGUUGACGGUCCUUAAGUACCAAAUUUAAUCAUCAAAUAAAUAAAGAAAAGGAUCCAAAUGCAACCAAAACCCAGACUUAGGGUUUUAUCUGACAGAAUUCCAUGAGUUUUGGUGUUUGUCUAUUUCUGCAGGGGGUUAUCAGGAAAUAUGGAAGAAAGGCCCACAUGUCGGGUUUACAUAGAGAUAUUAACGUGCCGCGCAAUUUUCUAUCAUCUAGAAGGCUCCAGAAGCCACGGGAACGAACGGGAAGCCGAGCGAGCUCAGGGACAGGGCGCCCGCCCUACUUUUUCCACCAAUCAUGAUCAACCUCGUGGAUUAUGCUCCACCGACCUAAAGGAUCAACAAAAACCGUGCGAUUAAUGUCGGUUUGAUCCGACGACCCAGAUUCACAUGAGGGGACUAUAUAAGCAGACCCCCUAGCCCAUGGAGGAGGCACCCCUUGAUCCCUAUUCAUUAUUCAUAGACAGAGCAAAAGCAAGGGUUUGGAGAUGAGAGCUAUCCUCUCUUCUCUAAACUAGAGUAGAUCUAGAUAGUAGCGAGAUGGAGAGCGAGGGAGGAUUGGAGGAGAGGCCGGCCUGUCGGUUCUUCCUCCGGUUGUACUUCGUCAUGAUCAAGCUCUAAUCAAGCUUUCUCAAGGGAUGACUCUGGUAAUCUACUUCUAUUUCGUUAUGCAAUUACUAUCCAUGUAUGUUCUGGUUCACAACUCUUUUGAGUACUUUAAUCUAUAGGGCGCUAUAGGUGAGAGUUGUAGUACAGGUGUAAGCGUGGUGCUUAGACCUAGAUUACCUGUGGAUACCCCCUGUCUAGCCGGAUCGUGUGGUAGGCCACGUAGGUGACAGUUACGUUGGUCCCCUAUAGUCCACCUCCCAUUAGCAGGACUGGUAGGGUUUAUUGGCCUAUGGAUAAGCAUCCUUUGUGGUGUAAUCUUAUCACGUGGUUCGUCCCAAACAUAGACAUACCCCUUUGAAGUAGAGAAACCAUAGUUAUCCUGUCUAUUCUCCUACCAUCGCCCAUAUACUAGAUUGCUCUACUCUCUAUUCCCAUUUUAUCACCCAUUGUUAUCUCACCUUUAAUAUUAUUCGUAUUCAAUUCUUCCAUCUUUCCUAUUUACACCUACCUAUCUAUCUAGGUUAAGUUAGAGCGUAGAUCAGCUCUCCCGUUUCCCUGUGGAUACGAUAAAACCUUUAACCGGGUAAAAGCUACAACAGUAUCCGUGCGCUUGCGGAUUUAUCUGUGUGCGUAUAAAUACCAUAGUACACUCUAGUGCCAUGCUGGGGAUGACAACCUAGUAUUCAAGUGGUGUUAGCAAGUGUCAACAAGCUUUUUGGCACCGUUGCCGGGGAGACGGUUACUGAGUUGACUACGAACUAGCUUAAUCAUUUUCUAAAAAAUAAAAAAAAUAUAUUUUUCCUUUUAUCCUUUGCCUCAUCUCUACUAUUCUUUCUUCUUAUCUAAUCCUUGAUUUCUGGUCUAUCAUGAAUGCAAACAUGUCUAUCUAUCAGUUUAAUAGACCUACGGGCACACAUCUCGAACCACCAAAAUCUUCAAAGCCUAUAAUAGCAUCUAGUUUUGAGAUAGACCCCGAAUACAUAGAAUUUGUUCAAAAACAACCUUUCUCAGGAGAAGGUGAGGAAAACCCAUACACACACCUAAGAGAGUUUUAUCGAGUCUGUGACCUCUUCGCAUAGAAGGCAUGUCCGAUGAGACCCUUAAAUGGAAGCUCUUUUCGUUCUCUUUAACAGGAAAAGCUAGACAUUCGUACAAACUCAAAGUAGGGAGUGUUCAUGGAGAUUGGAAUGAGUUAUAUAAUAGUUUUCUUUUUAAAUAUUUUCCAAUCUCCAAAGUGGCGGAACUUCAACGUGAGAUUAUUUCUUUUAGACAACUGGAAGAAGAAUCUCUUGGCAAAUCAUGGGACCGCUUUAUUAACCUUACUCUCACUGGCCCAAAGCUUUCUAUUCUAGAAGAAGUUCUUCUAAUUCACUUUUUUGAGGGCCUUAGUAGGGAAAAUAAGCAAACCUUGAAUACAGCCUCUAGAGGAUCCUUCUACCACCUACUUGCUAGUGAAGCUAGGGAUUUAAUUGAUUCAUUGAGUGGAAAGUUUCCUAGUAUUUAUAUCCCUGAGAAAGAGAAAGAACCCGUUCCUAGACAAGAACAAGAAGUUUCGAUAGCCAGAUCACAACCACUUCAAUCCCAAACUUUAGCUAUUGAUCCAAAACCAUCAAUACCCCAAAAUUCUCCAAGGGAGGAAGGAAUUCCAACCUUAAAUCUUUCAGAUGCUGAUGGUUUAGACUUCUGGUUCCAUAAGAGACCUUCAAGCAGGGAUAAUUCACAUCCUUAAAAUAAUGGUUCUCUUAGAGAAUGUCCCGGUUCCUGUUAUGAAGAAGUCAAGGAUGACAUAUCAAGUGAAGGAGAGCUAAGCCAUAUAGAAGAUUCUAUCUACUCCCCUUCCAUGUUCACAAAUUCUAAAUCCAUCCUUGACCUUAGAGACCCCUCUUAUCCCUCUCCUUUUUAGUCUCAUGAUGAUCCUAGCAAUCCAUCAAGACGAUCAAACCAUAGGAGUCAUAAAGACCAUGAGGAUGACAUGUCAAGUAAUGUCAUAGAAGGAGAGCUAAGCCAUAUAGAAAAUUCUAACACCUCACCUUUCCUGAUCACAAGUUCUAAAUGGCUAGAAUGUGUAGAAUGGAUGGAUAAGGAAGAAGCCUUAAUGGAUUCUGACUUUGGCUCAAUUUCAAAUGGUGAGUUCCUGACUCCCUUUGAAGAUGAGAUACAUCCAACUACAGAAGAGGACAUAGGUGAGACCAAUCCAGGAGAAACUCUGAACAUUCAGAUUGGAGACGAAGAUAACAUUAAUGAGCAUGGAAUUUAUUUCAUAGCCACUUCGUUUACUCCAUGCUCAUAUGCAACAUUUUCCCAAUCUAUUGGUCUCUCCAACAUCACCACAUUUGAGAUCUCGAACCCCCUCUUCCUUUCUAUUUAUAAAAACUUUAAAAGGGCGGUUGUCGAUGCAUAUGUCUAUAAUAAAUAUUGCAGAUCUUGUUGAGUUGAUCUUGAUAUAGGUCAGCGUCGGAAGGGAAACCACUUCGCCGACAUAAAUUGAUGGUUUCCCAAGGACAAGCUUAGUGUCCUGAAAUAAUCACUAAUCAGAUCGUAACAUGAGCUUUCAAUUAUUUACAACAUUACCUUGUGUAUUGAGCAUAUAAGGAUAAUUGUAAAAAUAUUCCUUUGGGUAUUCUUGUCAGUAACCUUUCCAGGAUUGGAGCAAGAAGAUUGGUUGAAUGACAAGCACAAGGUAUGUCCAACCAAUCAUCAUACAACAGUGAAUUAAAUUCAAACUUGAAUUUUGCAAAAUUCAAGCUUGGGGGAGUACUUUACAUAGAAACAUCAUUUGCCAUGUUGCUAUGUUGGUUGUCCCUACCUUUGAGACAUGCUCAAUUUGUUAAAUACUAAUCACACUACUUUAUCUCCACUUGAGUAGAUCUCUAUAAAUACCAUCACACUACCUUUGUUUAUCCUAGUAAGUGUUAGGUUGGAAGUACUGCACGUACUUCUAUUGGCUUUUAAAUUAAGCAUGGUGCUUAGGUUAAACAGCCUUCCUUAUUCUGAUUAGACAAGGAGUCUAGUUUGGUUAUUGAACUAAGAACUGCUUGUGUAGACAUUGGUAUAUUAUGUUGGACUAACCCCUGCAGAAAAACAUUCAAUAUCGAUUUGGGAAGUCCUGAGAUAAACUCACAUCGGAGAUGAAGAGAGAGACACAUGAAGUUUAACAAUUGGCACAAGAAGGACAUAGCUCAUUCAUCAUAAGAGAUGAUCCAUGGAGGGUGCCACAAACACGAUGCACAACCGCUAACAAAGGAAAGCUUCCACAAGGUGACACUGUACCAUCACUCUUCAAGUAAGGUAACAUCUUAAGGUACUUGACUAUCACUUUUAUAAGCUUCUCAUUGGUUGUAGCAUUUACAUGAAUAAAAGAGACAAACGUGUAUGAUUUACAACUCUAGAUUAACCAACCCAAUCGAUUCAACAUGUUUAGUCCUUCCACCUUUGUGAUCCCACACUCCUAAUCAUAUGAGCUAAAAUGUUACACACUCAAUCUUUGGAAGAUAUAUAAGAAACAUAAAUAUAGAUAGAUUAUCUUUCCAUUAGGUUGAGUGAUCUGAUCUGACAAUUGUUUUAAAUGCUACACUCAUGAGCUUAUCACCCAUCAACUUUGUCUUGCUCCCUAUGCUUAAGGAUAGAGAAGGAUAAAUAUACUUUUGGUUCUGUUGGUGUUUUCCACCAACAGGACCCAUGCACUUGAUCUCUUCCUUGUCUCUAUGAGCAGGACACAUUUUGAGAAACAUGGAGGAUUUUUAAACUCCUAGACUCUACCAAGUGAAGGACGUGGAUCUACGAGCACAAAUAAACUGAGCAAGAUACUGCCAACGCAGCACUUCGAACUGCUGGGCAAACGAAGAACAUGGGUGACACUGCAUCAAGAGGUGCAGACGUCAAGGUCCACACCUGAAUCAAACGACGCACCUGAAGAAUGAACACGGUGAGAAGUCUUGUUCAGAAGACUUAAAACAUUGAAUCCUCGCCGAAAGGUAAAAACGGUAGUUAUCCAUAUUUAUCCUUUUUGAAUUCCCUUUUCCCUUAAAUUAUUUACUUUCCUUAAAUACCUUGUUAGUUAAUCAUGCUAUCUUGAAAAGAAAAUAAAAAUGUUAAAAAUAGUAAGCCCCAUGUGAGUAUGCUCGUGGCAUAAAACCCAUAAGUACAUUCACUGUGGUGGCGUAAAAAUAAAAAUAUUCAUGUCCUAUGAAAAUGAAAAUAUAAAAAUAAAUUUAUGAUCCUACCAAAGAGAGUAAUAUUUAUUAGAGGAAGCUCAACAUGAUAAAGGCAAAGAUAUUUUUAUGCUAACACUUAACCAGUUCCACAAAGCUUUGUUGUCUAUUUGAGCUCCACAGAAUUUAAGGAUCAAAGAAGACUAGCAGACGGAGGACAUCCUAAUCACUGUCAGGGUACUGCCGACAUUCAAAUACACCUCUGCCACCUGCUAGCUACAUCAGAAGAAAUUACAUCAAAAUCCACCUUGGGGGGAGAGCACCCCAUUUAUCCAGCUAAGUGUUUCUACUCGCGUUUAUACUUUACUCAAAUAAUAAAAAGAUGCAUAAUCAUAAACACCCAAAUAAAGAUUUUUGGGCUUAUAUAUAUAUAUAUAUCUUUGCUUAGUUUGCUAAAUAAAUAAAUAAAGUUUGCUAUGAACCCUCAUGAUAAGCUCUCACAUGGAAAUGAUGAAUAGUUGCUCUGCCAUGACUAGUUCUCAAAAUUGAAAUCUCUCUCAAGUUUAGGCAUGACUGUUAUGAAUUAAGAAUUGCUCUAAACCUGAACUUGUGGGAAGAGUACUUGAUCUAAAGUCUAAGUCGUUAACGGAUAUGAUAUGGGAAGGUUGAUCUGCUGUUUAUCUGUUCCUAGAGAUGCUAGAAUUCUAGAGAAUUUUAUCUUUCAAAAUCUUUAAAAUGUUGCAUGAUGAGUUCUUGUAUGAUGAGAGUUUAAAAUCCUACCACAGCCAUAUAUACAUGCUUAUUAGACUAUGAACCAUAUAUGUACUUUUUACUGCUUAUGAGCAUUGUGGUCAAGCUGUGUAGACCCUUAGGAGCUUGUCAUGCGGUUAAAAUCAAGAUUCACUUGCACGUUCACUCAUACAUGCUGCUUCUACUCCGGAAGUACGCAUCCACAUACAUCCACUCAUUUCCAUCUCUAGAUUCACCCAAAAUAUAUUCUACUCCUAUCCAGGAGAGAAUAGCCAAAAACAUUAUCCUAUCCCUGUUAUUCCCCAUGAAAUAAAUGCUCGAGAUAUUUUGGUUACUACCACUUGCUACAUUAUUCCAGGAUUGUGAGUGCUCUAAAAAAGAGAGAAAAAAAGUUAAAAUCAGGAAAUAAAAAGGGGCAAGUGCCCGGAACCUCGAAGAAAAAAAAGAGUGAGACGAGAGGUAAAAAUGGACAAGUGUCCGAUAGUAGAAUUAGGGGUACAAGAUACCCACCUGAGAGAAAAGAAAAAAAUAUAGAGCAUCUCAUUCCCCUCAAAAAGCUUCAAAGUGCAAAAAAGGUAUGUAUCCCCUCAAAAAAGCAAAAGUAGAAUUAGACUUUCACCAUUGUUUUCACCACUAUCACCAUCAUCACCAUACACCAUUCAUUCGCCACACAUGCAUAUCUUGAUUUGACUUAUUGACUUGUUUCUCUGGAUCCAUGGUUUGACUAUGCAAUAAAUGUCUUGUAAGUAUGUAUUAGCUGUCUCCCACCUAUGAGCUCCAGAUAUCAAAACCUUAUUAGAGUAGGGUGAGAGAGAAGGCAAUGUCACUAUGCCUCAUACCAAAAAUAUCACAUGCUUUGAGAGAAGGCAAAUACCAUCACUGCCUUGGUAAGGAUCCAAAAAUACCACAAAAGAGAGAAUUGAGAGAGUCAUACAAGGAAUCUCUGAGUUUUAUUUUGAAAAUCUGCAAAAAACUCCAGAGCUAUAGCUGAUCAAGAAUAAGAGACAUGGUGCUUGACUAGACUGUUCUAUCUUUUUACUGCUCAAGACACAAGUGACGAUUGCAAGCCCCAUGGUGGAAGGAAAAAUGAGUAAGUUUAAAUCUUAACAGUUUACCCUAACCCAGAGAUGAGAUCUUGUUUGAACGCAUGUGUACCUUUAAGGCAUGAAACCAUUGCAGAAACUCUUGAGUCCAUCCUUGCUCAGGGACGAGCAAGAGGUAAGCUUGGGGGAGUUGUUGACGGUCCUUAAUUACCAAAUUUAAUCAUCAAAUAAAUAAAGAAAAGGAUCCAAAUGCAACCAACACCCAAACUUAGGGUUUUAUCUGACAGAACUCCACGAGUUUUGGUGUUUGUCUAUAUAUGCAGGGGGUUAUCAGGAAAUAUGUAGGAAAGGCCCACAUGUCGGGUUUACAUAGAGAUAUUAACAUGCCGCGCAAUUUUCUAUCAUCUAGAAGACUCUAGAAGCCACGGGAACGAACGGGAAGCCGAGCGGGCUCAGGGACGGGGCGCCCGCCCUACUCCUUAGGGCGCCUGCCCUACUUUUUCCACCAAUCAUGAUCAACCUCGCGGAUUAUGCUCCACCGACCUAAAGGAUCAAGGAAAACCGUGCGAUUAAUGUCAGUUUGAUCCGACGGCCCAGAUUCACUUGAGUGGACUAUAUAAGUAGACCCCCUGGCCUCUGGAGGAGGCACCCCUUGAUCCCUAUUCAUUAUUCAUAGACAGAGCAAAAGCUAGGGUUUGGAAAUGAGAGCUAUCCUCUCUUCUAUAAACUAGAGUAGAUCUAGAUAGUAGCGAGAUGGAGAGCGAGGGAGGAUUGGAGGAGAGGCCAGCCUAUUGGUUCUUCCUCCGGUUGUACUUCGCCAUGAUCAAGCUCUAAUCAAGCUUUCUCAUGGGAUGACUCUGGUAAUUGUUGACGGUCCUUAAGUAUCAAAUUUAAUUAUCAAAUAAAUAAAGAAAAGGAUCCAAAUGAAAUCAACAUCUAGACUUAGAGUUUUAUCUGACAGAAUUCCACGAGUUUUGGUGUUUGUCUAUUUCUGCAGGGGGUUAUCAGGAAAUACGGAAGAAAGGCCCACAUGUCAGGAUUACGUAAAGAUAUUAACGUGCUGCGCAAUUAUCUUACAUCUAGAAGACUCCAGAAGCCACGAGACCGAAGCGGAGGCGAAACGGGGCCAGAGGCAGGGCGCCCGCCCUGUCCUACUGGGCGCCCGCCCCCUCCAGGAGUCCAAUGAGGACUCUGCUUUGCGGGAGAUCUCCACCGACCUAAAUGAUGAAUCUAAACCAUACAAUCUAUGUCGGUUUGAUCCAAUGGCCCAUAUUCACUUGAAGGGACUAUAAAACCAGACCCCCUGGCCCCUGGAGGAGAGAGCCUCUCAACCCUAAUUCAUUGUUCCAUCAAGGGAGAAGAAGCCUCUGAUCAAGAUUAGAGCCACCACAUCAAUUAGACAUCUAGAUUAGCAUAGCUACAUACGAUUAGAACUAGAAGGAGUCAAUCUUCGAUUGGUUUCCGGAUCUGUCAGGAGGAUUCUUGGUAAUUCUCUAAUUGUGCUUCUAAUUGCUUUCUAAUUAUCUUUGUUCUUCAAUAUUAUGAAUAUGACUUUGUUCUACUUCAAUAUAUUGCUUAUGACUUUGCUCUACUUGCUUAUAUUCAAGAUUAUAUUGUUCUUAGUUUAUCAUAGUUAUGUACUUGGCUUAGUUAGAUUCGAUCUAUAUACAUGCUUAGGAUCAUAUAGCGUUUAUCCAUCGGAUCCAUGGGUAAAUGAUAGAUAUUGUGUAGGCGUGGUGCUUAUACCGUAUUUAUCUGCGAUUGUACCCAAUAUGCCAGAUCGUGGGGUGGUUCGUGAUAGUGACAGCUUCAUUGAUUCUUAUAUAGUCCCCCUCUCGUGUAUUGGGCUGGCAGAGCAACAUUAUUACAGGGGAGUGAUUGCUAUGUUUCUCAUAUUCCUUGCUAAUAUCACUAUGCAUGGGCGUAGUCUUGUCUCACAAUGAUUGCUAAGUAUGCUUGCACUAACUAUGAUAUGCUAGACUAUAUAGUUAAGAAUAACUUAGGGAAUAUUCUUGUAGUUCGUUCUAAUACCAUGCUAAUGACUUUCUAGAGUAUCUAAUUGAGGUGGUUAUCAUAUUUAUUAUGUGGCUAGAUCAGAUUAGUUAUCCUUGUCACUAUUAUUACUUCAUAUAUCUUUUAUGUGACACUUAUCCCUGUAUGAAGAGUUAGAUAUAAUGUUCUCAAUUAUACAUGCAAUGAUAGAUGCUCAAUCUCAUAUUCUAUUCUGUAAUCAACAAUGUUAUCCUAAACGCUAAACAGUAAACAGUCAGUCACCGUUCGUUUAGCGUUUAAACUGUUUAGACGGUGUUUAAACGGAUUAAAACGGUCUAAACGGUUUUACACAAUAUUACAAAAAUGUGCAUAUUUUUUAAUGUAAAAUCAAUCAUUCUAUCAUUUAUACAUAUUUAUGCAACUAAAAUCCAUUUAUUUUAUUAUGUAUAUAUGUUUAUGCAUGUUAGAAUAAUUAAAUAUACAUAUUUAUGCAUAUAACAAAUCAAUUUUAUAUAUUUAUAAAUAUAAUAAAUUUAAGUAUACAAAUUGUUAAUAUAAAAUUCAACUAGAUUCACCUGGUGUUUGCCUAAACGGCCGUUUAAACAGCCGUUUAACACCGUUUACAACCGUUCCGAGUAGGCCGUUUAGACCGUUUUCCCCGUUUUUUGACCGUUUAAACGGUCAACCGUUUAAUUUCCCGUUUACCCCCUAAACAAAACAGUUUGCCACCGUUUACCGUUUAAUGACCGUUUAAUCGGCCGUUUAGGCGAACACUGGUAAUCAAUAGUGAUGAUUUCUAAUCCCUUCCCAGUGGUAAAAAUAUAAAUAACGAUACCUGGAAUACUUCCUGGUUAAAAUGCUGCAUCGGUAUUAAUCUGUGCGCUUGCAGAUCCCAUUCAUUAUUUAUUUAGAAGAGCAAUUGCAUAUUUCAAUACCGCGUCUCUCAUGUCAUGCUGGGGAUGACAACUUGGCUUAAGUGGUGUGAGGGAUAGGUUUGGCAUUUUUGGCACCGUUACUAGAUUUAGAGAACUUAGUCUACUUUUGGUAAUGAUGUUAAGAACACCCAACAAGCAUUUUUGGCGCCGUUGCCGGGGAAGGUUGAUUACUAAUCAGGAAUGGAAUAAAAGAUUUUGAGUUAUCAUUCGCAUCGCUUAUCUAUUCUCUCAUACAGUUUUACCCCGAUAUUUUCCUAUUUCAUCUUAUGCAGGGGAAUGUAUGAAUAGAAGACAUCUUCCAGGAAAUUUUGUUGACAAUCCUGAAGCAUUAUUCAAGAAGACGAGAGCAAAGCUCAAGAAGAAAUCAUCAACACUUCACGAAGAAGCUUCAUCCAAUCAAGAAGAUCACCGGAACUUGUCUUCAGAGUUCGAAGCCAUGGCGAACAAAUCAAUCCGCGAGUUCUCAGCUCCCACUACGGACAAUAUCCGCACUGGACCUGCUGCAGAGAUCGACGGCAACUUUGAGCUCAAGCCUGGACUUAUCAACAUGGUGCAAUCCAACCAGUUCUGUGGGAAGGCACACGAAGAUGUUAGUGCUCAUUUACAACACUUCAUGGAGAUUUGCAACACAUUCACCAUACCAGGAGUUUCCAAAGAUGCUAUACUACUUCGCCUCUUCCCAUUCUCACUGUUAGGAAGAGCGAAGUAGUGGUUCUACGCUACAAAGGAGAAGAAUACUAUGUGGGCACUCUGCUCAACAAACUUCCUGGCUAAGUUCUUUCCCAUGGGCAAGACCAAUGCUCUCCGUGGGAAGAUUACAAGUUUUCAGCAACAAAAUGAUGAAUCUGUUCUAGAAGCAUGGGAGCGCUUUCAAGACUACAUCCUAGAAUGUCCCCAUCAUGGAAUGGAGAGUUGGCUACUGAUGCAGACGUUUUAUCAUGGGCUCAGCAACAGUGCCCGAGAGACCAUGGAUGCUGCAGCUGGAGGAGCAUUCUUAUCACUUACUAUACCACAAGCCACAGCUCUUGUGGAGAAGAUGGCGUCCAAUCAAAGCUGGAAUGAAGAGAGGACCCAGACACGCAAGAGAGGUGGAGGUAUGCAUCAGCUGAAGGAGGUAGACAUGCUGUCUGCAAAGCUAGACCUGCUCAUGAAGAAGCUCGACGAUAGAGCUGGAGACAAGAAAGAAGUUAUGCACAUCUACGACUCUCACAUGACUUGUGAGGAGUGUGGAGACACUGGACACUCAGGCAACCACUGCCCUGAGAUGCUUGAGGAUGUAAACUACAUCAACAACAACUACUACUACUACUACAACCGUCCUCAACAAAAUCAAGGUUGGAAUCAACAAAGGCCUAACUACUCAGGUAAUUAUCAAGGUAACAAUUCUUACAACAAUAAUAAUAAUUUUCCACCUCUCAGAGAGUUAGUGUCUAAUCAAGGAAAGCUAAUGGAUAAUCUAUCUAAGAAAUUGGCAUCUAAUGAUAAAAUGCUAGAAAAUAUAAAUAAUAGAAUGGAUAAUUUUUCUACUGCCAUCAAGAAUCAAAUUAGCUUUAAUAAAAUGAUUGAAUCCCAGUUAAAUCAAAUAGCUGCUGCUGUUCCUACUACUAACCCCGGUAUACCAUCACAACCGGAAGGAUUAGAAUCUGUAAAUCUUGUAGACAUGUUUGAUGCAGGUAAUUGGAGUAACCCCAUCAAUGAAUUCUCUACUGACCUUCUGCCGGUCAAGAGAGGCGAUCCAGGACGCCCCGUCAUCCCGAUCUCCAUCGGCAUGGUGGACGUUCCAGAAGCACUCUGUGACUUUGGCUCCAGUGUCAACAUUAUACCUAGGGUACUCUAUGAAAAAUUCUUUACAUAUCCUUUAUUAGAGACAACCAUGUGUUUGCAGUUUGCAGAUCAGACGAUAACUUUCCCAAAAGGAAUAGUGAAGAACCUUUGUGUCCGAGUUGGUACCUUAUAUGCCCCAGCAGACUUCGUAGUGGUAGAGACCGGUAAUGAUGAGAGAGCACCCAUCAUCUUAGGGAGGCCAUUCUUGAACACCACGGGAGCUAUCAUCUACGCUAGUGCUGCCAAGAUCAGUUUCUACGUCAAAGGGAGGAAGGAGACAUUUUUCUUCAAGAACAAGACUACACAAAUUCAAGAUUAAUCCAGACGUAAAUCAAGGAAGAGGACCAACAGGAGAAACAGGAACAAGCAAGUGUGGACCGAGUCAGCUAAGAUGGUCACUGUAGUUCAUGGAGGCCAAGAUCAUCAACUCAAGUCACCGCUUUUGACCAAGAAGGACGACCCAGGAAUGCCAAGCAUUUACUGCUCCAUAAAUGGAUACAACUUCUACAAGACGUUUUGCGACACCGGAUCGGGCGUCAACAUAAUGGUCGCAGUCACCUAUCGGCUCUUGUUCGGAACCAUGCCACUAAGACCAACAUACAUUCAACUCCAGAUGGCAGAUCAGACAUUUCGAGAAGUCAAAGGAAUAGUAUCUGAUGUCCCAGUCAAAAUAGACGAUCACUUUGUCUACACAGACUUUCAAGUUGUUGACAUGGGAGAAGAUGAGUAUGAUCCACCCAUCAUCCUUGGAAGACUGUUCCUCAGCACCGUUAAAGCAAUUAUCUACAUUGGAACCGGAGAAGUCCAUAUGCACUUCCCCUCAGAGAAGGUACGCCGUUACUUUACUGACCCUAACUAUAUCGUUGAAGAAUCUAAGCAGGUAAGAAAGCGACGCAACUGCAACCAGAGGAGGCAGAUCAUCAAGGACGGAUGGGCAGACUAUGAAGGAGAAGUUGUAAGAUCAGAAGACGUAGAGUUUAAACAGAAUUAUCCAGAGGAGAUUGAAGCACCGAGUCAGGUAUGGAAAAUGAAGAUAACUAUACAUGAAGAGGAGGCGCUGCCGGAAGUACCGACUACGCCACCCAAUGAACCUCAGGACGAUUAAGAAAAUGGAGAGUCCCAUUCGGAAGACUUAAAAACACUGAACGCCUUGCCAAGAGGUAAACUUGGUAGUUAUCCUUUCCCUUUCAAUUAUUCAAAUAGUUUACUUAGUUAAUCGUGUUCGUACUAUUCUAAAAAGAAAAUAAAAAAAAUGUGAAAAACUAUAAGCCCCAUGUGAGUAGACGAGUGGCAUAAAAUCCAUAAGUACAUUCACUGUGGUGGCAUAAAAAUAAAAUAAAUAUUUUUCUGCUUUAUAAAAAUAAAAAUAUAAAAAGAGGGAGUAAUAAUUAUUGAGGAGUCUCAACAUGAUAAAGGCUAGAUAUUUAUGCUAACACUUAAUCAAGUUCCACAAGCUUUGUUGUCUAUUUGAGCUCCACAGAAUUUAAGAAUCAAGAAGACUAGCAGACGGAGGACAUUCUAAUCGCUGUCAGAAUGCUGCUGACUUUCAAAUACACCUCUGCCACCUGCUAGCUACAUCAAGAGAAAUUACGUCAAAAUUCAGCUUGGGGGAGAGCACCCCCAUUUAUCUCGAUAAGUAUUUCUAUCUAUUUUCAUACUUAUAUUAUAUUAGAAUAUUAAAAUACAUAAACUAGGAAAAACCAAAUAAAGAUUUUGUGCUUAUUUAUCUUUUGCUUAGUGUGUUUAAUAAAUAAAUAAAGUGGCUAUGCUAAUCUGUAUCUAAAUAAAACUUAAGCAUGGAUAUGAUAAAUAGUUGCUCUGCCUAAUUUGCACAUUUGAAGUUCUCUCUCAAGUUUAGAUAUAACUGUUAUAAUUUAAGGCUUGCUCUAGACCUAAACUUGUGGGAUGAAAACUUGAUCUGAAGUCUAAGUUGUUAACGGAUAUGAUAUGGGAAGGUUGAGCUGCUGUUUAUCUGUUCCUAGAGAUGCUAGAAUUCUAGAGAAUUUUAUCUUUGAAAAUCUUUAAAAUGUUGCAUGAUGAGUUCCUGUAUGAUGAGAGUUUAAAUUCCUACCACAGCCAUAUAUACAUGCUUGCUAGACUUUGAGCCACACAUUUAUUUACUGCUUAUGAGCAUUGAGUGUGGUCAAGCUGUGUAGACCCUUAGGAGCUUGUCAUGUGGUUAAAUCAAGAUUUCACUUGCACGUCCACUCAUAUAUGCUACUUCUACUCCAGAAGUACCAUCCACAUAUAUCCAUCCUUUCCAUCUCCAGAAUCACCCAAAAAUAUUCUACUCCUAAUUUGGGAGAGAAUAACCAAAAAUAUUUCUGUUUCCCCUUGUGAAAUAAAUGCUCAAGUUAUCUUGUUACUACCACUUGCUAUAUUAUCUCAAGAGAUGAAUGCUCUGAAAAAAAAGAGAAAAAGAAAAAAGAAAAGAUACGAGGAAAUAAAAAGGAGCAAGUGCUCGGAACCUCGAAAGAAAAGAAAAAGUGAGAUGAGAGGUAAAAAUGGACAAGUGUCCGACAGUAGAAUUAGGGGUACAAGAUACCCACCUGAGAGACAAGAAAAAGAAGAGCAUCUCAUUCUCCUCAUAAAGUUUCAAAAGCAAGGAAGGUAUGUAUCCCCUCAAAGAGCAAAGUAGAAUUAGACUUCCACCAUCAUUGUUUCCACUAUUGUUGUCACCAUCAUCACCAUACAUCAUUCAUUCGCCACACAUGCACAUCUUGAUUUGGCUUAUUGAUUUGUUUCUUUGGAUCCAUGGUUUGACUAUGCAAUAAAUGUCUUGUAAGUAUGUAUAUUUUAUCUCCCACCUAUGGGCUCCAGAUAUUAAAGCCUUAUUAGAGUAGGGUGAGAGAGAAGGCAAUGUCACUAUGCCUCAUACCACAAAUACCACAUAUCUUGAGAGAAGGCAUAUACCAUCACUGCCUUGGUAAGGAUCCAAAAAUACCACAAAAGAGAGACCUGAGAGAAUCAUACAAGGAAUUUCUAAGUUUUAUUUGAAAAUCUGCAAAAAAAACCCCAGAGCUAUAGCUGAUCAAGAAUAAGAGACAUGGCACUUGGCUAGACUGUUCUAUCUUUUAACCACUCAAGACAGAAGUGACGGUUACAAGUCCCAU